This 807-nucleotide ribosomal RNA is filed under the name Pediococcus acidilactici. RNAcentral describes it as "bacterial SSU rRNA". It matches the Rfam family "Bacterial small subunit ribosomal RNA", at positions 700 to 1506 of the family's 1533-position model. Lineage: Bacteria; Bacillati; Bacillota; Bacilli; Lactobacillales; Lactobacillaceae. The record is from RNAcentral.
GGAAGACCACCAGUGGCGAAGGCGGCUGUCUGGUCUGUAACUGACGCUGAGGCUCGAAAGCAUGGGUAGCGAACAGGAUUAGAUACCCUGGUAGUCCAUGCCGUAAACGAUGAUUACUAAGUGUUGGAGGGUUUCCGCCCUUCAGUGCUGCAGCUAACGCAUUAAGUAAUCCGCCUGGGGAGUACGACCGCAAGGUUGAAACUCAAAAGAAUUGACGGGGGCCCGCACAAGCGGUGGAGCAUGUGGUUUAAUUCGAAGCUACGCGAAGAACCUUACCAGGUCUUGACAUCUUCUGCCAACCUAAGAGAUUAGGCGUUCCCUUCGGGGACAGAAUGACAGGUGGUGCAUGGUUGUCGUCAGCUCGUGUCGUGAGAUGUUGGGUUAAGUCCCGCAACGAGCGCAACCCUUAUUACUAGUUGCCAGCAUUCAGUUGGGCACUCUAGUGAGACUGCCGGUGACAAACCGGAGGAAGGUGGGGACGACGUCAAAUCAUCAUGCCCCUUAUGACCUGGGCUACACACGUGCUACAAUGGAUGGUACAACGAGUCGCGAAACCGCGAGGUUUAGCUAAUCUCUUAAAACCAUUCUCAGUUCGGACUGUAGGCUGCAACUCGCCUACGCGAAGUCGGAAUCGCUAGUAAUCGCGGAUCAGCAUGCCGCGGUGAAUACGUUCCCGGGCCUUGUACACAUCGCCCGUCACACCAUGAGAGUUUGUAACACCCAAACCCGGUGCGGUAACCUUUUAGGAGCUAGCCGUCUAAGGUGGGACAGAUGAUUAGGGUGAAGUCGAAUCAAGGUAGCCCUAGG